RNAcentral lists this ribosomal RNA (439 nucleotides) under uncultured bacterium. Its description in RNAcentral is "bacterial SSU rRNA". It matches the Rfam family "Bacterial small subunit ribosomal RNA", at positions 29 to 467 of the family's 1533-position model. The record is from RNAcentral.
AUUGAACGCUGGCGGAAUGCUUUACACAUGCAAGUCGAGCGGCAGCGCGGGGGCAACCCUGGCGGCGAGCGGCGAACGGGUGAGUAACAUAUCGGAACGUACCCUGUCGUGGGGGAUAACUAUCCGAAAGGAUAGCUAAUACCGCAUACGACCUGAGGGUGAAAGCGGGGGACCGCAAGGCCUCGCGCGAUAGGAGCGGCCGAUAUCGGAUUAGCUAGUUGGUGAGGUAAAGGCUCACCAAGGCGACGAUCCGUAGCGGGUCUGAGAGGACGACCCGCCACACUGGAACUGAGACACGGUCCAGACUCCUACGGGAGGCAGCAGUGGGGAAUUUUGGACAAUGGGGGCAACCCUGAUCCAGCCAUUCCGCGUGAGUGAAGAAGGCCUCGGUUGUAAGGACUCUUUCUAGCAGGAACGAAACGGUAGAGGGUUAAGUACC